Molecule: ribosomal RNA, 443 nt
Filed under: uncultured bacterium
Lineage: Bacteria
Description: bacterial SSU rRNA
Rfam family: Bacterial small subunit ribosomal RNA
Source: RNAcentral
GAUGAACGCUGGCGGCGUGCUUAACACAUGCAAGUCGAACGCUGAAGCUCCCAGCUUGCUGGGGGUGGAUGAGUGGCGAACGGGUGAGUAUCACGUGAGUAACCUGCCCUUAACUCUGGGAUAAGCCCGGGAAACUGGGUCUAAUACUGGAUAGGACUGAUCAUCGCAUGGUGGUUGGUUGAAAGUUUUUGACGGUUUUGGAUGGACUCGCGGCCUAUCAGUUUGUUAGUGGGGUAAUGGCCUACCAAGGCUUUGACGGGUAGCCGGCCUGAGAGGGUGACCGGCCACACUGGGACUGAGACACGGCCCAGACUCCUACGGGAGGCAGCAGUGGGGGAUCUUGCACAAUGGGCGGAAGCCUGAUGCAGCGACGCCGCGUGAGGGAUGACGGCCUUCGGGUUGUAAACCUCUUUCAGUUGGGACGAAGCCCUUCGGGGUGACGG